UCGCCUGUUUAUCAAAAACAUGUCCUUUUGUUUUUAUUUAAGGUCAGACCUGCUCAAUGAAUUUUUAAAUGGCCGCGGUAUCCUGACCGUGCAAAGGUAGCAUAAUAGUUUGUCUUUUGAUUAAGGACUUGUAUGAACGGUCAUACGAAAAAUUAACUUUCUUUAUUUUAUAUUAAUGAAUUUUAUUUUUGUGUUAAAAAGCAUAAAUGAUCUUAUUAGACAAUAAGACCCUAUAAAACUUGAUUUUUUAAUUAUAAAUAUUUUGAUUUAGUAGUUAUUUAAAAUUUGUUUUUGAAAAAUUUUAUUGGGGUGAUAGGUAAAUUUUUUUAACUUUAUCUUAACAGUAUCAUAAAUUAAUGUUUGUAGUGAUCCAAU
RNAcentral lists this ribosomal RNA (375 nucleotides) under Latrocimex spectans. Its description in RNAcentral is "partial large subunit ribosomal RNA". The stretch from base 1 to 161 matches the Rfam family "Archaeal large subunit ribosomal RNA", at positions 1888 to 2097 of the family's 2987-position model. Lineage: Eukaryota; Metazoa; Arthropoda; Insecta; Hemiptera; Cimicidae. The record is from RNAcentral.